CUCCCUUGAUUCUUGGAUCUUAAGGAUGGGAAAUUGGAGGUCAUGGCACAAUUCAGCAGCAAGAGUAUUAGUGCAGCCCAGGUCCUGUGGUUUGGGCCAGGCAUCUCUCCAUUGCCAGAGGUUGCCUUCAGAAGUCUGAAUGGGACACAUAGCCCAUUUUCAGGCCUUGAGAAUUCCUGUGAGAAUUUCAAGCAAGCUUUUGUUUCAACAGCUCACAUGUGCAAGGGCCACCAAGAGUUUAGUAAUGUAAAUAGAUAACAUGUCAUCAUUUAGCCAAGGAAUCACAUUAUGAGCAUAUUCAAACCACAUUCAAAAGGACACCAGAUUUCCUUGAAACAUCUGUGGAUAAAGGAAGAAAAAUCAUGGUGGAUGUGUAGCCAGCCUCCAACAUGGGCUCCAAUGAUUCCUGCCUCUUGGUAUUCAAGUCCUUGUGCAGUUUCCUCCUACAAUGUAUCAUAAUUGGUCUUUGUGACCAAGAGAAUACAGCAGAAGUGAUGGCAUGUCACUUCUGAAGCUAGGUCAUAAAAGGUACUGUGGCUUUGUGGUAUAAUAAGAAAGACAUUCUAUCUUUGUCCAUAGUGCCUGGCACAGAACUCCUGUUGAGGAACCCCUGUUCCCUCAAACCCCUGGAACACCACACAGAGAACUAUCUCCAGGCCUGGACUUCCCCUGACUUGGAGACAGCCUUAUUCUCAGAUCUCUCUCUCUUUUAAAAUGGACUAUCCUCUUUACAACCCAGAGAGCCCCAUCCAAAUAUCACUCAUUGUGGAAGAAAUCUGAUGCCAUGUCUUGAGGACACUCAAGUGGCCUAUGGAGAGGCGAACAUAAAGACAAGAAACCCAAUCUCAAGCACUAUGAGACUCCCUCCUCUCCAUCUCCAAGGGUCAGGCCAUGGUCUUAGUCAUUGCCAAGAGCAUCACAGAAGGCCUCUGCCUCCGGUUCCUACCUGGGCCCUUUCUAUGCUCGUUAACUGAUGCUGCAGCCUGACUUCUUCAAGACUAAGUUGGGCUGUAUGCUUGCAGUCAUGGGAGGAAAACAAAAGAGGAUGAGGAACUUGGACUCAGCUAGCUUUGGCGACUUGUUGAGAAAGUCAGAACCAGUUAGUUGUGGAAUAUAAAAUUGAGCUCGGCUCUCUUCCUACCUAGUCUUUUCUCUGCUCCGCUCCCACACUUCAGUGAGAGUUGCUUUCCUGAAGGAGUAAGUUCUAAAGCAGGAUUGGAAGUUCCUAUAGGGACAAAGAGAAGAGGCAUCCAUGAGUGGCAAGGAGUGUGAAAGGGAUGAAAAACACAUAGGAAGAAAUGGAGACAGGCAGAAGGUCCCAGCUACAGGACAGAAAAGCCAGGGUGUGGGCUUCUGAGAGAUGAUGCUGAGUGCAUGAGCUGGACUUGUGGAAUACAUACAGAAGAUGCCUCCAAUUACUGAGAGGUUAAGAAGAACAUUAUAUUGCCUCACAAAUCCUGUUUGUUACUGUAUAGAAUUGUAAGAAUUAUGGAAGAAACUGAAGGAAUUACUCCUCUAAAGCAGAUACUCCUGGAAAGUUACACAACUUGGCUAAUACUCUCCUGCUAGAGUUGGACAGGAAGACCUUACCAAAGCUGAAAGAUAAGAGAAACAUUUGUUUGGGCUGAGGCAGCUGUUUCAUGAAAUGCAACAUCAUAUCUCAUUUUUCUUCAUGAACUUCUCUCAUUUAACAAUUAGGCUGGAAGAACACACAUUACCAAUAGGUUCAGUCGUAUAACACUCAGAACCUGGAAAUAAUGAGUUGGAAGUUUCAGAUCCUACAAAAUAAAUCAGUUACUCCAUCAAUUCUAUAAUAUAAGGCAAAGAAUCUGAAAAUUGAAGGAAGAUAUUUUGAACAACACUGUGCAAAAGCUAUUGCUGAGUUAGGUAUUCAGUUAAGCCAAACACCACGCCUGGUUCUCAGUUUGUUUUGCAAAAGCAUUUAUUCUACAUUUUAAAUAUGCACAUGUUUCAACUUGGGCUAGAAAGACUUAACUAAAAAUAACACCACUAUCACCAAGUGAUGCUAUGGUUGACCGAUACUCCAGGAUUUGAAAAAAAAAUUCCCCAAAUGGUACAAAUUCCCCAAAUGCUACAAAUUCCCUAGGAACUGGAAGCUUUUCCUCUCCUUAAGGUGAAAGACUGCUUCUCCUCUUGGUGUUUUGCCAUUAAAAAAAGAAAGUAUUUAGCAAACAACUAGCAGAUCCAUCAAAAGGUUAGGAUUCUUUUUAUUUUAGUGCUCUUUCUUAAUGGGCAAAAUUGAUUGAUUAGUUCACCUGGAAUGUUCUUAGCCUUAGGGCAGAAACAGAGCUUUGUAUGCAUUAGUGGACUGGGUUUAUAAAAGAAAAAAGUCCACAUUCAAGAAUACAGAGAAUUUCAAAAAUACAAGAAAAUAGAAAAAAGAAAAACAAGGUCUGGAAGCAUAUUAAAAUUCUUGUAUUCAUUAAAAAUCAAAUGGCUGUGUUUUCAGUUGUAUUGAGUUAUCAUAUGUGCACUGGUUCUUU
Molecule: long non-coding RNA, 2504 nt
Filed under: Homo sapiens (human)
Lineage: Eukaryota; Metazoa; Chordata; Mammalia; Primates; Hominidae
Description: HSALNT0381144
Source: RNAcentral